RNAcentral lists this ribosomal RNA (468 nucleotides) under uncultured bacterium. Its description in RNAcentral is "partial 16S ribosomal RNA". It matches the Rfam family "Bacterial small subunit ribosomal RNA", at positions 28 to 507 of the family's 1533-position model. The record is from RNAcentral.
GACGAACGCUGGCGGCGUGCUUAACACAUGCAAGUCGAACGGAAAGGCCCUGCUUUUGUGGGGUGCUCGAGUGGCGAACGGGUGAGUAACACGUGAGUAACCUGCCCUUGACUUUGGGAUAACUUCAGGAAACUGGGGCUAAUACCGGAUAGGAGCUCCUGCUGCAUGGUGGGGGUUGGAAAGUUUCGGCGGUUGGGGAUGGACUCGCGGCUUAUCAGCUUGUUGGUGGGGUAGUGGCUUACCAAGGCUUUGACGGGUAGCCGGCCUGAGAGGGUGACCGGCGCCUUGGGGACUAAGAGAGGCCCCAGCAGCGAAGGGGGGGCAGAGGGGGGAAGUAUGACAGAGGGGGGGGGGGCGUGAGACGGAAGCCCCCGGUGCGGAAAACCGGCUUAGGGGUGUAAAACCAUUUUCCCCGGAAACAAGGGGGGCGUGACGGUAUGGGAUAAGAAAGCCCCGGCUAACUACGUG